UUUGGGAAAUGAUGCCAAAUUUAAAGAUAGUUUCUGAAGAACUUGCCAUGUUGAGUGGUUCUUAUAUUUUGCACGUCAGUCUGAUCCCAAA
This is a small nucleolar RNA of Prosopis cineraria, 91 nucleotides long. RefSeq annotates it as small nucleolar RNA Z122. The transcript has a single exon. NCBI's taxonomy places the organism in Eukaryota, Viridiplantae, Streptophyta, Magnoliopsida, Fabales, Fabaceae. The record is from RefSeq and is a predicted model, not a curated record.